UAGGGAAUCUUCGGCAAUGGGGGCAACCCUGACCGAGCAACGCCGCGUGAGUGAAGAAGGUUUUCGGAUCGUAAAGCUCUGUUGUAAGAGAAGAACGUGUGUGAGAGUGGAAAGUUCACACAGUGACGGUAACUUACCAGAAAGGGACGGCUAACUACGUGCCAGCAGCCGCGGUAAUACGUAGGUCCCGAGCGUUGUCCGGAUUUAUUGGGCGUAAAGCGAGCGCAGGCGGUUUAAUAAGUCUGAAGUUAAAGGCAGUGGCUUAACCAUUGUUCGCUUUGGAAACUGUUAGACUGGAGUGCAGAAGGGGAGAGUGGAAUUCCAUGUGUAGCGGUGAAAUGCGUAGAUAUAUGGAGGGACACCGGUGGCGAAAGCGGCUCUCUGGUCUGUAACUGACGCUGAGGCUCGAAAGCGUGGGGAGCAAACAGG
This 429-nucleotide ribosomal RNA is filed under the name bacterium. Its description in RNAcentral is "partial 16S ribosomal RNA". It matches the Rfam family "Bacterial small subunit ribosomal RNA", at positions 355 to 776 of the family's 1533-position model. The record is from RNAcentral.